CCUACGGGAGACUGCAUUGAGGAAUAUUGGUCAAUGGGCGCGAGCCUGAACCAGCCAAGUAGCGUGAAGGAUGACUGCCCUACGGGUUGUAAACUUCUUUUAUAAAGGAAUAAAGUGAGGCACGUGUGCCUUUUUGUAUGUACUUUCUGAAUAAGGCUCGGCUAACUCCGUGCCAGCAGCCGCGGUAAUACGGAGGAUCCGAGCGUUAUCCGGAUUUAUUGGGUUUAAAGGGAGCGUAGAUGGGUUUUUAAGUCAGUUGUGAAAGUUUGCGGCUCAACCGUAAAAUUGCAAUUGAUACUGGCAGCCUUGAGUACAGUUGAGGUAGGCGGAAUUCGUGGUGUAGCGGUGAAAUGCUUAGAUAUCACGAAGAACUCCGAUUGCGAAGGCAGCCUACUAAACUGCCACUGACAUUGAUGCUCGAAAGUGUGGGUAUCAAACAGGAUUAGAUACUCGGGUAGUC
Molecule: ribosomal RNA, 460 nt
Filed under: uncultured bacterium
Lineage: Bacteria
Description: partial 16S ribosomal RNA
Rfam family: Bacterial small subunit ribosomal RNA
Source: RNAcentral